GACGAACGCUGGCGGCGUGCUUAACACAUGCAAGUCGAACGGAAAGGCCCUGCUUUUGUGGCGUGCUCGAUUGGCGCACGGGUGUGUAACACGUGAGUAACCUGCCCUUGACUUUGGGAUAACUUCAGGAAACUCGGGCUAAUACCGGAUAGGAGAUCCUGCUCCAUGGUGGGGGUUGGAAAGUUUCGGCGGUUGGGGAUGGACUCGCGGCUUCUCCGCUGGUUGGUGGGGUAGUGGCUUACCAAGGCUUUGACGGGUAGGCGGCCUGAGAGGGUGACCGGCCACAUUGGGACUGAGAGACGGCCCAGACUCGUACGGGAGGCAGCAGUGGAGAAUAUUGCAGAAUGGGCGGAAGCCUGAUGCAGCAACGCCGCGUGCGGGAUAACGGCCUUCGGGUUGUAAACCGAUUUCGCCUGUGACGAAGAGUGAGUGACGGUAAUGGGUAAAGAAGCACCGGCUAACUACGUG
This 468-nucleotide ribosomal RNA is filed under the name uncultured bacterium. RNAcentral describes it as "partial 16S ribosomal RNA". It matches the Rfam family "Bacterial small subunit ribosomal RNA", at positions 28 to 507 of the family's 1533-position model. The record is from RNAcentral.